RNAcentral lists this ribosomal RNA (775 nucleotides) under uncultured bacterium. RNAcentral's name for it is "bacterial SSU rRNA". It matches the Rfam family "Bacterial small subunit ribosomal RNA", at positions 99 to 859 of the family's 1533-position model. The record is from RNAcentral.
CGGACGGGGGAGUAACACGUGGGUAACCUGCCCUUAAGUGGGGGAUAACAUUUGGAAACAGAUGCUAAUACCGCAUAGAUCCAAGAACCGCAUGGUUCUUGGCUGAAAGAUGGCGUAAGCUAUCGCUUUUGGAUGGACCCGCGGCGUAUUAGCUAGUUGGUGAGGUGAUGGCUCACCAAGGCGAUGAUACGUAGCCGAACUGAGAGGUUGAUCGGCCACAUUGGGACUGAGACACGGCCCAAACUCCUACGGGAGGCAGCAGUAGGGAAUCUUCCACAAUGGACGCAAGUCUGAUGGAGCAACGCCGCGUGAGUGAAGAAGGCUUUCGGGUCGUAAAACUCUGUUGUUGGAGAAGAAUGGUCGGCAGAGUAACUGUUGUCGGCGUGACGGUAUCCAACCAGAAAGCCACGGCUAACUACGUGCCAGCAGCCGCGGUAAUACGUAGGUGGCAAGCGUUAUCCGGAUUUAUUGGGCGUAAAGCGAGCGCAGGCGGUUUUUUAAGUCUGAUGUGAAAGCCCUCGGCUUAACCGAGGAAGCGCAUCGGAAGCUGGGAAACUUGAGUGCAGAAGAGGACAGUGGAACUCCAUGUGUAGCGGUGAAAUGCGUAGAUAUAUGGAAGAACACCAGUGGCGAAGGCGGCUGUCUGGUCUGUAACUGACGCUGAGGCUCGAAAGCAUGGGUAGCGAACAGGAUUAGAUACCCUGGUAGUCCAUGCCGUAAACGAUGAAUGCUAGGUGUUGGAGGGUUUCCGCCCUUCAGUGCCGCAGCUAACGCA